GAUGAACGCUGGCGGCGUGCCUAAUACAUGCAAGUCGAGCGAACAGACGAGGAGCGUGCUCCUCUGACGUUAGCGGCGGACGGGUGAUGAACACGUGGAUAACCUACCUAUAAGACUGGGAUAACUUCGGGAAACCGGAGCUAAUACCGGAUAAUAUAUUGAACCGCAUGGUUCAAUAGUGAAAGACGGUUUUGCUGUCACUUAUAGAUGGAUCCGCGCCGCAUUAGCUAGUUGGUAAGGUAACGGCUUACCAAGGCAACGAUGCGUAGCCGACCUGAGAGGGUGAUCGGCCACACUGGAACUGAGACACGGUCCAGACUCCUACGGGAGGCAGCAGUAGGGAAUCUUCCGCAAUGGGCGAAAGCCUGACGGAGCAACGCCGCGUGAGUGAUGAAGGUCUUCGGAUCGUAAAACUCUGUUAUUAGGGAAGAACAAAUGUGUAAGUAACUAUGCACGUCUUGACGGUACCUAAUCAGAAAGCCACGGCUAACUACGUG
RNAcentral lists this ribosomal RNA (497 nucleotides) under uncultured bacterium. RNAcentral's name for it is "partial 16S ribosomal RNA". It matches the Rfam family "Bacterial small subunit ribosomal RNA", at positions 28 to 507 of the family's 1533-position model. The record is from RNAcentral.